GUCUCAAAGAUUAAGCCAUGCAUGUCUCAGUGCAAGCCGAAUUAAGGUGAAACCGCGAAAGGCUCAUUAAAUCAGCUAUAAUUUAAUUGAUGGUACAAUCACUUUUACUUGGAUAACUGUGGCAAUUCUAGAGCUAAUACAUGCAAAAUGAAUUCCGACCGCGCGGGCGGGCUCUUUUACAAGCUCGUCUUCGCGGAACGAAUGCUUUUAUUAGAACAAAACCAAUCGGAUCUUUCGUCGGCUCGCGUCACUUUUUUUUCGCUCUUUCCUCUCGUUCGGUGACGUCUUUCGCGCUCUUCCUCCGUUCCUUUCUCCGCGAUCGCUUCGUCGAGAUUGAUUUCUCGCGCGAGCGAAAACGGAGAGUAUACGGGGAAUGGAGGGCACACGGGAGCGCGAAAGCAUCCGUUCGAAACAACGGGGAAAGUUGCGAAAAAAGAACGGUGUGCGCGGAAAAAGCUCGAAAGGAAUCCGCAAAAAUAAUUUUGAGGAAUCUGAAUAACUUUACGCUGAUCGCACGGUCACGAACCGGCGACGCAUCUUUCAAAUGUCUGACUUAUCAACUUUCGAUGGUAGGCUACGCGCCUACCAUGGUGAUAACGGGUGACGGGGAAUCAGGGUUCGAUUCCGGAGAGGGAGCCUGAGAAACGGCUACCACAUCCAAGGAAGGCAGCAGGCGCGCAAAUUACCCACUCCCGGCACGGGGAGGUAGUGACGAAAAAUAACGAUGCAGGACUCAUUACGAGGCUCUGCAAUCGGAAUGAGAACACUCUAAAUCAUUUAACGAGUAUCCAUUGGAGGGCAAGUCUGGUGCCAGCAGCCGCGGUAAUUCCAGCUCCAAUAGCGUAUAUUAAGGUUGCUGCGGAUAAAAAGCUCGUAGUUUGAUUUGUGUUUCGAGCGAAUGGUUCCAAAAAAUUGUCGAUGAUAAGAGAAUUUUUCACAACCGUUUCGCGACGAAACUUACCGUCGGAGAGAGAAAGCGUCGAAAGGAAAAAGAGGAAAAAAAUAAAAAAGACGAAAAAAAGUUCGGACGGUUCGCAAGUUGUUUGUGAAACUCUUUUACAUGAGACGAAACAAAACGAAACUUGGUUUCCAAAACCCUCCGAUGCGAAGGGAGAGAAACACAAACGUCGGAAACGUCGUCGCUUUAAGCGAACUAGAAAAUUUCACGCGCGUUUUCCGUUUCGGCGCAUCGGAAAGAAGAAAAAAAAAGGAAGGAUAGGAGAAAAGAAAAAGAAAAAAAGGGGGAGGACGUCGACGGUCGUCGUCUCCUCCUCCUCCUCCUCCUUCUUCUUUUUCUCUGCCGUUCUUUCGUAUUCUCUUGACGAUGCGUCGUAGAGGGGAGGGCCGCGAGAGGUUUUGCGCGUCGCAGGACGCGUCGUUUGCGCGGGCGAACGUUUCGAGAUUGCGUGCGAUAUUUUUUUCUCCAAAAAAAAGCAAAUCGCUUUAAUGCAACGCGAUCGGUGUCUGCCGAUCUAAAAAGAAAAACAAAAAAAAAAAAAAAAAAAAAGAGCGAUCUCGCUUGCGAGUGUGUCCGGUUUUUUAUUUUUUUUUGCGUCUUGGUUAUUUUUCUUCGAAAACGACAAAACAAAAGAUCAAAUUUCUUUUCCGACGCGAUCUCAACACAAUCCCGUCGCGCGCGUGGUUUCGUUCGCGAGCACCGCGCCGCGCGUCGGGCCGACACGUUUACUUUGAACAAAACUGAGUGCUUAAAGCAGGCCAAUUGAAACCGCCGGAAAGUCUUAUGCAUGGAAUAAUGGAAUAGGGCCACGGUUCUAUUUUGUUGGUUUUCGGAAUUUCCGAGGCAAUGAUUAAUGGGGACAGGCGGGGGCAUUAGUAUUGCGACGUUAGAGGUGAAAUUCUUGGAUCGUCGCAAGACUGACCUAAGCGAAAGCAUUUGCCAAGGAUGUUUUCUUUAAUCAAGAACGAAAGUUGGAGGUUCGAAGGCGAUCAGAUACCGCCCUAGUUCUUACCGUAAACUAUGCCGGCUAGCGAUCCGUCGACGUUCGUUUAGAUGAUUCGGCGGGCAGCUUGAGGGAAACCAAAGCCUUCGGGUUCCGGGGGAAGUAUGGUUGCAAAGCUGAAACUUAAAGGAAUUGACGGAAGGGCACCACCAGGAGUGGAGCUUGCGGCUUAAUUUGACUCAACACGGGAAACCUCACCAGGCCCGGGCACCGGAAGGAUUGACAGAUCAAGAGCUCUUUCUUGAUUCGGUGGGUGGUGGUGCAUGGCCGUUCUUAGUUGGUGGAGCGAUUUGUCUGGUUAAUUCCGAUAACGAACGAGACUCUAGCCUGUUAACUAGGCGUCGAUUCGAUUCCUCCGCGGUCGAAUCGUCCGGCAUGGAACGGAUUCGGUUUUUUUUCAAUUUGCGAGCGCGCUCGACGAGGGAAAGCGGUCGUCUCGCCCUUCUCUCACGCGUUCUUUUCUCUCUCGGGAGGAGAGCGCGGCGGGAGGAGGAGGACGAUGCGCGGCUCUCGCCGAAACGCGUUCGCAAAGAAAACUCGAACGCGUUCAAAACACUGUCGGCGUGAUUGAAAUCUUCUUAGAGGGACAAGCGGCGUCCAGCCGCGCGAGAUUGAGCAAUAACAGGUCUGUGAUGCCCUUAGAUGUUCUGGGCCGCACGCGUGCUACACUGAAGGAAUCAACGUGUGCGUACAAAGUCCUAGGCCGAGAGGUCCGGGUAACCCGUUGAAUUUCCUUCGUGGUAGGGAUCGGGGCUUGCAAUUGUUUCCCGUGAACUAGGAAUUCCCAGUAAGCGCGAGUCAUAAGCUCGCGUUGAUUACGUCCCUGCCCUUUGUACACACCGCCCGUCGCUACUACCGAUCGAACGAUUUAGUGAGGUCUUUGGACUCGUACGCGGGGGACGGAGCGCGCGGCGCGUUUUUGCGAGCGCGCCGCCGAACGACUGCUCGCAGCUGCGAGGAAGACGACCGAACUUAAUCGUUUAGAGGAAGUAAAAGUCGUAACAAGGUU
This 2970-nucleotide ribosomal RNA is filed under the name Haematopinus sp. NKU-011. RNAcentral's name for it is "partial 18S ribosomal RNA". The stretch from base 587 to 2970 matches the Rfam family "Eukaryotic small subunit ribosomal RNA". The record is from RNAcentral. Lineage: Eukaryota; Metazoa; Arthropoda; Insecta; Psocodea; Haematopinidae.